Molecule: unclassified non-coding RNA, 236 nt
Filed under: Bombus terrestris (buff-tailed bumblebee)
Lineage: Eukaryota; Metazoa; Arthropoda; Insecta; Hymenoptera; Apidae
Description: misc RNA ENSBTSG00005026040.1
Source: RNAcentral
CACACACAGAUUUUUAUAAAAUCCUAUUUCCCUACCCCUUUAUCUCUAUGAAGCCCGGCUGGUAUUGUUCAAAAACGCCAGAACAUGACGUAGCUGCUUGAGCCGGGAAAAUCGCAUUUUUUCGUGAUGCAACGCACGCCAAUCAAGAUCGCCGAAUUUCCACGAAAAUUCAAGCAAUCAUUACGAAAAGAUCGUUUCAAGGUAGACGAAACCUCGAUUAUGAAAUUAACAGAACG